Molecule: ribosomal RNA, 322 nt
Filed under: uncultured eukaryote
Lineage: Eukaryota
Description: partial 18S ribosomal RNA
Rfam family: Eukaryotic small subunit ribosomal RNA
Source: RNAcentral
CCCUUAGAUGUUCUGGGCCGCACGCGUGCUACACUGAGUGGAUCAGCGGGUCAGGUUGCGCGAAAGCGUUUCCUAAUCUUGAAAUCCGCUCGUGAUGGGGAUUGACGGUUGCAAUUUUCUGUCAUGAACGAGGAAUACCUUGUAAGCGCGAGUCAUCAUCCCACGCUGAAUACGUCCCUGCCCUUUGUACACACCGCCCGUCGCUCCUACCGAUUGAGUGGUCCGGUGAGGCUUUGGGAUCUGAGCGGAAAGAGCGUUUCGCUCGUUCUGCCCGGAAAACUCAGUCGAACCUUAUCAUUUAGAGGAAGGAGAAGUCGUAACA